GUGUUUCUUUCCACGUGGCCAGCGCAGGCCGCCUUGGAGCCGGAUGGACCCCACGGAAAAUGCUCUGCCGGCGAAAGCGGCUGGCAAUGGGGUUGAUUUCAAGGCAGGGAAGAGCCAUCGCGCUGCCCUCCUCGGCUGGGAUGGCGAGACAGGGCUGGCACGGCUCACGCUGUCCGGUGCUCAGAAAACCGGUAAUCGCGGGCCCGAGGCGCUGCUCGCCGCCGUUUUUUGGCCCUGGGUUCCGUCGAGUGGAUCCAGCUUGUCAGUCUUUGUGUAGAUUUGGCUGCGUUCGCUCCGCACUUCGGAGGAGGUGGCGUUUCAUGGGAAGAAAUGCGCUCUAGCAGAUGGCCGCCGUGGCCAGUCAGCCCUGCUGCCACCGACGAAGACGCGGGCGACAGACCUGGACUCUAAAGAAAUCUGCACAGACGUGCCCGGCGCCCUCGGCCUUCCCAGCUCCGCGGCCGCAGCGACGCCGGUUAGGAUGUCGGCCCUGUGGGAGGGGCGCCCUUCCUGGUGCCGGGCCCUAACCCACGACCUGGAACAGCAGCUGGCCCGUGGCAAAUGCUGAGCAUAUCUCCUGAAAGAAUGGCUUCGCCGGUCCCUAGAGAAUGCACCCGAGUUUUGUGGUAUAUACACAUACGUACUUUUUUUCCAAGUAUAUUUUAUUUCUUGGCAAACAUGGCCCUUUGUGAUCGCUGUGUUUCUCUCCUCCCAUCCAUUAUACAACACUAAGUGAUUCAUCAUUCUUUGAACAAAUCAAACUGUUUCACACCUGCCAUGCAUUUGUACCGACCGUGCUCUUCCCUCUACUGCCGCAGCCCCCCAGGUAGAAGUCCUUUUUAUACUUCAAAAAUUCCCACCCAGGCAAAUUUCAAGCACCUUACCCCUACCCCAUCCCACUCUGCCCAUCUCUAAUUGCGCUGGUCUGAACCCGCACAAAUGUCUGUGUAGUUUCUGCACUUCAUAACAGCUUAUAUGACAGUUGCUCCAGCCAUUCUGUGAACCCCUGAGGGGAAGGGCCAGGUCUUGCUAGUCAUUUUAUUUCUAAUGUCUAUCAUCUGGUAGAUGUUUAAUAAAUGCUAAGUUGAAUAAUUCUAUCUUACACAUAUAUUGUAUUUUUAAUUCUCUUUUCAUGUCUUCUGUUUUAGAAGCAAUUCUCAAUUUAAAAACGACAAAACCAAAUAGGAACAAAAAUGAUAAAACUUGAAAACAACAACAACAAAAAAAGCUGCUGAACCAGAGGUUCAGUAUGAGAGGAAUUGCAAAGAACAGUUUUGAAAUCUCUAGGCCUUAGUCAGAUAGAAAUUACAAAUCAAAAAUAUAAUCAGACUCCCUGAGACACUAACACUAGGAAAAUGAAUAAAGUUAACUUGGAGCAGCCCAAGAACAAACUUAUAAGUGCAUGAUGGUAUUUUAUGUGCAAAACUGCUUUAUAAGUACUAUAAGACUAUUACAGGUAUUACCAGUGCCCUCAGUGUAAACUCCUUGGCCCACCCAUGUAAAGUGUACAUCGAGCCCUCAGGGUCCCUGACUGGUUCUCCAGCCGCCCCAUAGGCUAUGAGCAUCCCCGUUCCCUACACAAAGGACCACUGGGAUUUAUUAAAGGUUAUGCCUUGCAAUGCAGUACAAAGUUUUAUAUGAUAGUGUCUUGUUGCCUGUUUCUACAAAAGCCAAGGGUGUAACAUUAAAUGCAAUUUUGCAAGGGGCUGAGGUGAUGUGGUCCAAGUAUGUAAUCACUUCAGGGAGCCAUAUGUGACCUUCAUACACUGUUGAUAAUGGCCAUGCCUCCCAGUCAGGCCUGUGACACCUGCUGGACAGCAGGCAUUCCAAGGCCCCUAAGCACUGAGUUAGCUGGUAAAGGUUAAGGAAAAAGCUGUAUUCUUACUACUUUACUCCAAGGUAGUAAAGUGUAUGGAAGAUGUACCUGACAGAAAUAACUUAAGCAUCCCCUGAGAAUGACCCUGUAUGGCAGAUGCAUCUGACAGCAAUAACUUAAGAAGUGAGGGUUGCCACGUGGAGGCUGCUGAGGGGAGGGUGCUGAGUGAAAGUGCUAUGUAAACUGCAUGCUUUUUAUAAGUGGUUGCAGUUCUGUCCAGCCCGCGGCCACUGGACCACCCUGUAAGGUUCCCCAAAUAAACCCUAUGUUUCCUUCACUAGCUCCAGGUCUCUUCUUUGGCCUCUUGAACCUGGUGCCAUCCCUACUGAAGUUAACAGAGGUCUGGCCCAACCUAAGGGCAUCAUUUUUUAAAGUCCCAUGGAAAAAACUCCCAGCAGAGUUCAGCAUCUGGGAACGGUUGGCAGGCCCCACAGGAACCACAGCUUCUGCCUUUAUGAUGCUGAGAAACACUUCACUGUUGACUUCCCCCAUCUAAGGGGGCCAGAGCUAAAUUUUGGGCAGCUGUGUUUAUCCUGGGGGUCCACAUAUUUGCAUCAUUCUUUCUUCUCAUCGUGAUGUUCUACCUUGUUGGUACUGUUCUCUUCCUUCUUUGUGUGAGUUCCUGUUGUGAGCUUCCCCUUGUUCACUGAGGUAAUGUAGCCAAACAAGGUUAAAAAGCCCCCAGUAAGCCGGGUGCGGUGGCUCAUGCCCGUAAUCUCAGCACUUUGGGAGGCCGAGGCGGGCAGAUCACCUGAGGUCGAGAGUUUAAGACCAGCCUGACCAACAUGGAGAAACCCCGUCUCUACUAAAAAUACAAAAUUAGCUGGGUGUGGUGGUACAUACCUGUAAUCCCAGCUACUCAUGAGGCUGAGGCAGGAGAAUCUCUUGAACCCGGGAGGCGGAGGUUGCUGUGAGCUGAGAUCGCACCACUGCACUCCAGCCUGGGCAACAAGAGUGAAACUCUGUCUCAAAAAAAAAAAAAAAAAGUCCCUAAUAAAGCCAUAUCGUGGGGUAAUGUCUUUAUACAAUAAAUUACCUACUGUAGAGUGUGAUUUUAUUUUCCACUAAAACUUGUGCAAAAAUCAGAAUAGUAGGGUUUUUACCCCUUGACUUCUACUUUGCCCAGAUAACAAAAAUAUAAUCAGAAUAACUAUUUUUUUUAGACAAUCUAAUUUACAAAAUUUUUCCCUCCCAAUAACCAACCAUACACAUCAAAGAUACCUCACGUUUCAGUUCAAACCAAAUAAUAUGAAUUAACUUUCCAGUUCUGUGACUUUUGAAUGUGGGUGCUCUUUGCUACUUCUAAACCCCCAUCACUUAUCAACAGGUUGGAUUCCAGCGAGGGAAUCAGAGGCUAUUUUUAGAUUGUUCAGUACUCAGCUCACCACCCAUAAGACCAUUUCUCCUCUGCGUGUGGCCUAGUUCUUAGAUAUACUGUAAUUUCUUUCUUCCCCAGGACACUUAAGAAACAGUUUCAUUUUCAUGACAGGCAAGGGCUUCAGGAAGAGUCGUUCCACAGGGUCCCUGGAAAUGAAACCUGAAAGAGAAGAAGCAAAUACAGCAGUUUUGAACUACAGGUUAGCAAAAUGAAUGCCCUACUUCAGCAAGCACUUAUUUCUGAAGUAAUAGCCGAAGUAAAACCCAAAUUCUCAUAAAGAUGGUAUUAUGAAUUUCCAUGCCCACUUCUUUCAACUAGCUUCUAACAACUCUAGUUAUAACACUUCACUAUGGGCUGGGCUCUGUGACUGGGGGAAUUUUGAGAAGCAAAUGUCUAGAAUUUAUGUGCCAUAAAGAAGAAUUUUAUUUCAAAGUGUAAGAGACAUGAUUACAAAGUGUAUUCUGUUUGUUUUUUUCAAAUCCUGAGAACCUAUGCAAGUAAAGUGUAUUUUGGGACUGUACUGCCAAACUCAUUGAAAUUAGUGCCACUUAAUGGACAGCCCAGACUACACGGCAUCUCCAGUCCGUCUGCCCCCUGCCACGUGCUGAGCACUGACUUCCAGAAAGUUCCAGGCCAGUAUGUGGUUAUCCAGGAAUUACUGCCAGCCAUGGGGAGCGUUUAGGGAAUUCCCAGAUCCUCAAUUUCCACCUCUUCUCUUUCUUAAGUGAUUUCAAGUGCCCCUUUCCACAUUCAGCCUUCUUCCGCCUUACAAAAGCAAGCUGGACCCCUCACCCAUCCCAAAUUUUACAAUGAUACCUCAUCCCCGAGUGUGAAAUAGAGGGAGUGUGAAACAUAUGGAGUACCAAAUAGAGGGACGUCUGGAAUACUGGUGUAGAUCUGACACCUUCAUAUGUAAGUAGGCUGGUUUCAUUCUUGCUUUCAAUAAAGUUGAAAGAGGGUCGGAAAGGAUUUUCAGUGAAUAGAUCGCUAAGUAUGAUACAAAAUUACUCUGUGUAUUUUGGCAUACAACUUGGAAGGUGGUCCAAAAUUGGAGUGGCAAGGCUAUACCAAAAUUUCUUUCAUGGCUGGGCAUAGUGACUCAUGCCUAGAAUCCCAGCACUUUGGGAGGCUGAGGCAGGAGGAUCGCUUGAGGCUAGGAGUUCAAGACCAGUCUGGGCAACAUGGCAAGACCCCGUCUCUACAAAAAGGUAACAGUAAAAACAACCAUGCGUGGUGACACGAGCUUGUAGUCCCAGCAACUCCGGAAGCUGAGGCGAGAGGAUCACUUGAGCCAGGAGUUUGAAGCUGCAGUGAGUUAUGAUUAUACCACUGUACAGACUCCAGCCUGGGUGACAGAGGGAGCUCCCUCUCUUAAAAAAAAAUAAUUCCCUCAUGCCUAGAGUUUAGGUGGCCCAGGUCUUUCAGUACUUACAUCUAUAAAAAACAACACUGAAGAUUACAAUUGACAUUGAAAAAGUAAAAUUUAGCUUGGCAGGUCAAAAUCUGCCCAGCGAUUCUUUGGAUCAGAAUAAAAGACACGGGUAAAGCCAGCUGCCAAGUUAAUAGGAAACAAUAUAUUUUCCCCUAGGACAAGCUGCAAAAUGUCUUAAUUCCAUUCUUUGAGUGACUACUGCUUUUGGAUUUUGUUCCUUAAUAUUAUAAACUAUUGGAAACAUUGCUAUUUGAAAUUAUAGCAGUAAAGAAUGAAAUAUUCCUCUAGCCUUGAGGAUCUAAGUCACUUUGAUACUGAGAAGCAGCCUGGAUUUCCAACCCAGGUGCAGAGCUUCAGAUAAGGGAUUUCUGGACACAACAUUCCACGUUGAUCUAAACUUGGUAUUAUAGUUUCUGGGGAAGUGGGACCCUGGCCUACUUUGCCAGCCAGACAUGAUGUUGACCCCUUUACAUUGUACAGCCCUGCUAGUUGCUUGAGUCUAUCAAAAACUACUUCAUUCAAAUUUCACUUAAACUUCACCCUCCCCCCAAUUGCUUUAAUAACUCCACCUUUCCCUUAUUGGGAAACACUUCUCAGUUCUACGGGGGUCCGGUCUCCCUCAUUGCAUUAAAUCAAUAAACCUGAUCUUGACAGAA
Homo sapiens (human) is the source of this 5342-nucleotide long non-coding RNA. RefSeq annotates it as SIRT5 antisense RNA 2. Lineage: Eukaryota; Metazoa; Chordata; Mammalia; Primates; Hominidae. The record is from RefSeq and is a predicted model, not a curated record. The transcript is spliced from 2 exons.